This is a non-coding RNA of Triticum urartu, 134 nucleotides long. The record is from Rfam. NCBI's taxonomy places the organism in Eukaryota, Viridiplantae, Streptophyta, Magnoliopsida, Poales, Poaceae.
GUAGUGCUCCCUCCGUCCGGAAAGACUUGUCGUCAAAAUGAAUAAAAGGGGAUGUAUCUAAAUGUAUAUUAGUUCUAGAUACAUCUUUUUUAUCCAUUUUGAUGACAAGUAUUUUCGGAUGGAGGGAGUACUUG